Molecule: ribosomal RNA, 459 nt
Filed under: uncultured bacterium
Lineage: Bacteria
Description: partial 16S ribosomal RNA
Rfam family: Bacterial small subunit ribosomal RNA
Source: RNAcentral
CCUACGGGCGGCAGCAGUGAGGAAUAUUGGUCAAUGGGCGGAAGCCUGAACCAGCCAAGCCGCGUGAAGGAAGAAGGUGCCAAGUAUUGUAAACUUCUUUUGUCAAGGGACAAAGUCAGGGACGAGAGUCCGAAUGAGGGUACUCGAAGAAAAAGCAUCGGCUAACUCCGUGCCAGCAGCCGCGGUAAUACGGAGGAUGCGAGCGUUAUCCGGAUUUAUUGGGUUUAAAGGGUGCGUAGGCGGGCGGUGAAGUCAGCGGUAAAAGCUCGGGGCUCAACCCCGGCUGGCCGUUGAAACUGGCUUUCUAGAGAUGGCGAGAGGUAUGCGGAAUGCGCGGUGUAGCGGUGAAAUGCAUAGAUAUUGCGAAGAACUCCGAUUGCGAAGGCAGCAUACCGGCGGCAUACUGACGCUGAGGCACGAAAGCGUGGGGAUCGAACAGGAUUAGAUACCCUUGUAGUC